Molecule: ribosomal RNA, 799 nt
Filed under: uncultured prokaryote
Description: bacterial SSU rRNA
Rfam family: Bacterial small subunit ribosomal RNA
Source: RNAcentral
GAUGAACGCUGACAGAAUGCUUAACACAUGCAAGUCGAUUCAAUUUACCUUCGGGUAUUGAGGAUGGCGGACGGGUGAGUAACGCGUAAGGAACUUGCCUCUUGGUCUGGGACAACUGUUGGAAACGACAGCUAAUACCGGAUAUUAUGAGAUUCUCGCAUGGGAAACUUAUGAAAGCUAUAUGCGCCAAGAGAGAGCCUUGCGUUCCAUUAGCUAGUUGGUGGGGUAACGGCCCACCAAGGCGACGAUGGAUAGCCGGCCUGAGAGGGUGAACGGCCACAAGGGGACUGAGACACGGCCCUUACUCCUACGGGAGGCAGCAGUGGGGAAUAUUGGACAAUGGGCCACAAGCCUGAUCCAGCAAUUCUGUGUGCACGAUGAAGGUCUUCGGAUUGUAAAGUGCUUUCAGUUGGGAAGAAGAAAGUGACGGUACCAACAGAAGAAGCGACGGCUAAAUACGUGCCAGCAGCCGCGGUAAUACGUAUGUCGCAAGCGUUAUCCGGAUUUAUUGGGCGUAAAGCGCGUCUAGGCGGAAAAAUAAGUCUGAUGUUAAAAUGCGGGGCUCAACUCCGUAUUGCGUUGGAAACUGUUUUUCUAGAGUACUGGAGAGGUGGGCGGAACUACAAGUGUAGAGGUGAAAUUCGUAGAUAUUUGUAGGAAUNNCGAUGGAGAAGUCAGCUCACUGGACAGANACUGANNCUAAAGCGCGAAAGCNUGGGGAGNAAACAGGANUAGAUACCCUGGUAGUCCACGCCGUAAACGAUGAUCACUAGGNGUUGGGGGUCGAACCUCAGCGCCC